RNAcentral lists this ribosomal RNA (497 nucleotides) under uncultured bacterium. RNAcentral's name for it is "partial 16S ribosomal RNA". It matches the Rfam family "Bacterial small subunit ribosomal RNA", at positions 28 to 507 of the family's 1533-position model. The record is from RNAcentral.
GAUGAACGCUGGCGGCGUGCCUAAUACAUGCAAGUCGAGCGAACAGAUGAGGAGCUUGCUCCUCUGACGUUAGCGGCGGACGGGUGAGUAACACGUGGAUAACCUACCUAUAAGACUGGGAUAACUUCGGGAAACCGGAGCUAAUACCGGAUAAUAUAUUGAACCGCAUGGUUCAAUAGUGAAAGACGGUUUUGCUGUCACUUAUAGAUGGAUCCGCGCCGCAUUAGCUAGUUGGUAAGGUAACGGCUUACCAAGGCAACGAUGCGUAGCCGACCUGAGAGGGGGAUCGGCAACACUGGAACUGAGACACGGCCAAGACUCAUACGGGAGGCAGCAGUAGGGAAUCUUCCGAAAAGGGCGAAAGCCUGACGGAGCAACGCCGCGUGAGGGAUGAAGGUCUGCGGAUCGUAAAACUCUGUUAUGAGGGAAGAACAAAUGUGUAAGUAACUAUGCACGUCUGGACGGUACCUAAUCAGAAAGCCACGGCUAACUACGUG